CUGAGUAUCGGGUCUCUCAGGCCCUUACUCCCACCCUUUUGUUUACUAUACCAAAAUUCAGUUGCCUUGGUGGGAAUCUUUAAUUCUCCCCUUGGAUUUAAUCCUUGGGCAAAGAACCCACCAUUGGAACUCCCUUAAACUCUUAUUAAUUGAGCUGUCUGAGAACAAAAAACAAAUAAAUUA
RNAcentral lists this unclassified non-coding RNA (183 nucleotides) under uncultured Pleosporales. Its description in RNAcentral is "sequence contains ITS1". Lineage: Eukaryota; Fungi; Ascomycota; Dothideomycetes; Pleosporales. The record is from RNAcentral.